Molecule: ribosomal RNA, 478 nt
Filed under: uncultured bacterium
Lineage: Bacteria
Description: partial 16S ribosomal RNA
Rfam family: Bacterial small subunit ribosomal RNA
Source: RNAcentral
GACGAACGCUGGCGGCGUGCUUAACACAUGCAAGUCGAACGGUAAGGCCCUUCGGGGUACACGAGUGGCGAACGGGUGAGUAACACGUGGGUGAUCUGCCCUGCACUUCGGGAUAAGCCUGGGAAACUGGGUCUAAUACCGGAUAGGACCCUGGGAUGCAUGUCCUGGGGUGGAAAGCUUUUGCGGUGUGGGAUGGGCCCGCGGCCUAUCAGCUUGUUGGUGGGGUGAUGGCCUACCAAGGCGACGACGGGUAGCCGGCCUGAGAGAGUGACCGGCCACACUGGGACUGAGAUACGGCCCAGACUCCUACGGGAGGCAGCAGUGGGGAAUAUUGCACAAUGGGCGCAAGCCUGAUGCAGCGACGCCGCGUGAGGGAUGACGGCCUUCGGGUUGUGAACCUCUUUCAGCACCGACGAAGCGCAAGUGACGGUAGGUGCAGAAGAAGGACCGGCCAACUACGUGCCAGCCGCCGCAGUAA